Pezoporus flaviventris is the source of this 323-nucleotide long non-coding RNA. RefSeq lists it as uncharacterized. Lineage: Eukaryota; Metazoa; Chordata; Aves; Psittaciformes; Psittacidae. The record is from RefSeq and is a predicted model, not a curated record. The transcript is spliced from 3 exons.
AGUCUGACAGUCUUAUUACAUCUUAGCAGAAAACUUCUCUCAAACUGGACUAAAAGAGGUCUUCUGACAGCAUGAAUAUAGUUAAUUUUCAGGAUGUUUAUCCAUCAAAUAGUCCCAUGAGUUAAAUAAUUGCAGAGCCAUGAUUUCAUGCUAGUUACUUACACAGAUUGUCAGGAGGAAACAUCAGUUGUCCAAACAACCCUUGAUACUAUAACUGUGUAUAGAAAUUAAAGCUUGCAGAAAAUCAGAAUCACAGAAUGGUUAGGGUUGGAAAGGACCUCAUGAUCAUCUAGUUCCAACUUCCCUGACAUAGAAGGAGUGAU